GAUGAACGCUAGCGGCAGGCCUAACACAUGCAAGUCGAGGGAGAGGUUACCUUCGGGUAACCAAAACCGGCGCACGGGUGCGUAACGCGUAUACAAUCUGCCUUUCACAUAGGGAUAGCCCGAAGAAAUUUGGAUUAAUACCUAAUGGUAUAUAAGAGCGGCAUCGUUUUUAUAUUAAAGCUACGGUGGUGAAAGAUGAGUAUGCGUUCUAUUAGCUAGUUGGAGAGGUAACGGCUCCCCAAGGCGUCGAUAGAUAGGGGUUCUGAGAGGGAUGUCCCCCACACUGGUACUGAGAUACGGACCAGACUCCUACGGGAGGCAGCAGUGAGGAAUAUUGGACAAUGGUCGGAAGACUGAUCCAGCCAUGCCGCGUGCAGGAUGAAGGUCCUAUGGAUUGUAAACUGCUUUUGUAAGGGAAGAAUAAGGAGUACGUGUACUUUGAUGACGGUACCUUACGAAUAAGCAUCGGCUAACUCCGUG
RNAcentral lists this ribosomal RNA (480 nucleotides) under uncultured bacterium. Its description in RNAcentral is "partial 16S ribosomal RNA". It matches the Rfam family "Bacterial small subunit ribosomal RNA", at positions 28 to 507 of the family's 1533-position model. The record is from RNAcentral.